Molecule: ribosomal RNA, 429 nt
Filed under: Bacteroidota bacterium
Lineage: Bacteria; Pseudomonadati; Bacteroidota
Description: Bacteroidetes bacterium partial 16S ribosomal RNA
Rfam family: Bacterial small subunit ribosomal RNA
Source: RNAcentral
UAGGGAAUCUUCCGCAAUGGACGCAAGUCUGACGGAGCAACGCCGCGUGAGUGAAGAAGGAUUUCGGUUCGUAAAACUCUGUUGUUAGAGAAGAACAGCGCAUAGAGUAACUGUUAUGCGUGUGACGGUAUCUAACCAGAAAGCCACGGCUAACUACGUGCCAGCAGCCGCUGUAAUACGUAGGUGGCAAGCGUUGUCCGGAUUUAUUGGGCGUAAAGCGAGCGCAGGCGGUCAAUUAAGUCGGAUGUGAAAGCGCCCGGCUCAACCGGGGAGGGUCAUUGGAAACUGGUUGACUUGAGUGCAGAAGAGGAGAGUGGAAUUCCAUGUGUAGCGGUGAAAUGCGUAGAAAUAUGGAGGAACACCAGUGGCGAAGGCGAAUCUCUGGUCUGUAACUGACGCGGAGGCUCGAAAGCGUGGGUAGCAAACAGG